RNAcentral lists this ribosomal RNA (638 nucleotides) under Schmitziella endophloea. Its description in RNAcentral is "LSU rRNA". It matches the Rfam family "Eukaryotic large subunit ribosomal RNA", at positions 1737 to 2395 of the family's 3401-position model. The record is from RNAcentral. Lineage: Eukaryota; Rhodophyta; Florideophyceae; Acrochaetiales; Acrochaetiaceae.
GGGAGAAACACGCGUGUGCGGGCAGAGCGCCGGGGCUUAUCCGGCGUCCAGCUCGCCGUCGACGGCCCUUGAAACUUUGCCUGCUGAAAUAAAUCCACGCCGUGGCGUACCGAUCACCGCAUCAGGUCCCCAAGGUGAACAGCCUCUGCUCGAUAUGAAAAAUGCAGGUAAGGGAAGUCGGCAAAUUAGACCCGUAACUUUGGGAAAAGGGUUGGCUCUAGUGCUGCGUGGGAGUGGUUGUCGGACGCUGGCGUUCUCGGUGUGGCGGCUCGGCGCGGGGACUCUUUUGAGGAUCUGUUCCGGCUGCUACGCUGGUUGCGCCACGGCCGACGACGCCCACAGCAUGCAGCAGACUAGAACUGCAACGGGCAAAGGGAAUCCGACUGUUUAAUUAAAACAAAGCAUUGCGAGGGCCGUGGCCGGUGAUGACGCAAUGUGAUUUCUGCYCAGUGCUCUGAAUGUCAAAGUGAAGAGAUUCAAUCAAGCGCGGGUAAACAGCGGGAGUAACUAUGACUCUCUUAAGGUAGCCAAAUGCCUCGUCAUCUAAUUAGUGACGCGCAUGAAUGGAUUAACGAGAUUCCUACUGUCCCUAUCUGCUUCUAGCGAAACCACAGCCGAGGGAACGGGCUCGGCGAAAU